CUAUACUCUUAUAAGUACGAUCGUCUUCGUACCCAUAAGUUGUUUUUGAUGAUAGAGCUUCCGAAUCGACGAUCCAUACCGUUAAACGUUAGAAAAUUCUAUUCACUAUCUAGAUAAAGAUCAAUAAGUCCGAUCUUAAAAUGAGGGAUCCGAUCAUUCAAUUUUAGGACGUCGUUCGAUUUUGACCGUUUAUUUUCUGCCAGAUUGAUGGACUUCAUUACGAGUAUAGAGCCCUUCGUACUCAUAAGUUGUUUUCGAUUAUGGAGCUUCCGAAUUGACGAUCCUCUCCGUUUAAUAUGAUCUAGAGUAUUUGAAACUUUUAAAAAAUAAAUUUUGUAAUUUUGCGAAAUCAUAAUGAAGUCCAUCAAUCUGGCAUAAAAUGAAUGGUAAAAAUCGAACGACGUCUUAAAAAUGGAUGAUCAAGUUCUUCAAUUUAAGAUCAGACUUAUUGAUCUUUAUCUAGAUAGUGAAUAGAAUUUUCUAACAAAAAUUCAACCGAUUCUGAUUUUUUUACACCGUUAAACUAGCAAGUAUUCCAUACCAGCCGUUAAAAAUUGUCAACUUUGAGAUCUUUUGAUCGUAAGGUAAAUGAUGUCAAAAAUUUAUAAAAGUUGAUUUUUAGAAGUUUUAAAUGCUCUAGAUAACGUUUAGCGGUAUGGAUCGUCGAUUCGGAAGUUCUAUCAUCAAAAACGAUUUAUGAGUACGAACGCGACCGUACUCAUAAGAGUAUAGUAGCCGAACUCUCUCUCUCUCUCUAUAUAUAUAUAGAGAGAGAGAGCAGGGCUACUAUGCUAUUAGGAGCACAACAGUCCUCGUGCUUCUAACUUUCUAACCGGUUAGGAUAAGAGAUAAAAAAGAAAUUGGAGAGAAAUUCAAAAAGAAGAGAUAUUGAGACACCCAAUUUCUUCCCAAUUUCUUUUCUCUUCAUCCUAACCACUUAUCAAAAUUGAUGGGUGGUUAGAAAGUUAGGAGCACAAGGACUGCUGUGCUCCUAAUAACACAGUAGCCCUACUCUCUCUCUCUCUAUAUAUAUAUAUAUACAUAUAUUUAUAGAAUUAGGCUACUAUACUAUUAAUAGCACCAACUCAUUGGUGCUAUUAGGUUUUCAACCCUUGGAUGGAUGUGCUGUUGGGAUGAUAGUGGUCUUCUAGGGUUGAGUGGGUGGUUUGUUGAAUAGUAUGAUCUAACGGAUGGAAAUAGUCAAAGAGGUAGAUCUAACGGUAGAAAAUUUGGUAGCACAAAGCGCUUGGUGCUAUUGAUAGCUUAGUAGCCGGACUCUCUCUCUCUCUCUCUAUAUAUAUGUAUAUAUAGAGUCCGACCACUAUGCUAUCGAUAGUACCAAUCUCUUGGUACUAUUGAAUUUUCUGCCGUUAGAUCUGUCCUUAAACUAUUUCCAUCCGUUAGAUCAUAAUAUUUCACCAACUACCCACUCAACCUUAGGGGACUACUAUCGUCCUAACUUGGGACCACUAUCAUCCUAACCGCACAUCCUUUCAUCCAACGGCCGAAAUUUGAUAGCACCAAGCGUUUAGUAUUAUCGAUAGUAUAGUAGCAUAAUUCUAUAUUGCAUACAGUUUCUUGUAAAUAUAAUGAAUUGCAAAUAUAUCCCUACAAAGUUCAACUUUCUUAUAUUAUCCCUGCAAAAGUCCUAUUGUUUUCAAAUAUGCCUUUGCCGUUAGGAUCCAAUAGAAAAUUUAUUUAACCAUAGGUAAAAUACUUAACCCUAGUUAGUCAGUGAAAUAAAUUGACAUUUUUAUCCCUUUUAUAUUGUACCUUUUUCUCUCAAUCAAAAUCCUAGCAAUGGGAACUUUUCUUCUUCUUUCUCUUCCUUUUUUUUUCAUACUAGUUUCGAACUCGUAACUAGAAUUUCUCCUUCCCUAUUCAUCCAUGAUGUAUGUUGCUUUGCCCAUGUUGAACGCGUGUUACUUCCUCAUUCAAUUUCCUCUAUAAUUUUUUUUUUAUUUUGCUCAAAAGAAAAGGUUUAAAAGAACAGGAGUGAGAGAAGAGAUGUUGUAACAAUGGUGGAUUGGAUUGAAUUUUAAAAAGGAAGAAAAUGAGGAAGAUGACCAUUGAAAAUUUUCUGGGGGGACAUUUAUGCAUGAUUAUAGCAGUUGGGGCUUUUGGAAGGACAUAUUUGUGAUGGGAAAAUUAACAUUUUACUUAUCUGCUGUUAAAAAAUAAACAAUUCUCUAACGAUAACAACCUAGAGGGACAACUAUGAAUAUUAUCGAACUUUUGCAGGGAUAAAAGUUAAAAGUUGAACUUUGUAGGGAUAUAUUUGCUGUUCACUAUGUUUACAGGGAGCUGUAUGCAAUUAACUUUAUAUAUAUAUAGAACUAGGCUACUAAACUAUUAAUAGCACCAGGUAAUUGGUGCUAUUAGGUUUUCGGCCCUUAGAUGAAGGGAUGUGUGGUUAGGAUGAUAGUGGUCUCCUAGGGUUGAGUGGGUGGUUUGUUGAAUAGUAUGAUCUAAUGGAUGGAAAAGGUUAAAGGGGUAGCUCUAACGGUGGAAAACUUGGUAGCAUCAAGCGCUUGAUGCUAUUGAUAGUAUAGUAGACGUACUCUCUCUUUCUCUCUCUCUCUCUCUCUCUCUCUCUCUAUAUAUAUAUAUAUAUAUAUAUAUAUAUAGUAAGUCUCCUGUACUUUCGAAAGUACAGAGACCUCCGUGCUUGUAAGUUGUUUUCGAUGAUAGGAAAUCCGAUUCGACGAUCGGCUCCGUUAAGUAUAAUCUACCCUAUUGGAAUUAUUUAGAAACCAAAUUUUAUAAUUUUUUGACAUCAUUUACCAAGCGAUCAAAAGGUCUAAAAAAUGACUAUUUUAAUGGCCGAUGUGGCACGUUUUUAAGUUCAACGGUGUAGAAGCAUCCAAAUUAGAUGAAAAUUUAAUAGAAAAUUCUACUUAACAUCAAUAGUAAGACCAAUACUUCCGAUUUGAAAUUUGAGUCAUUUAUCACUGUUUUUUAUGAUAUUUUCAUUUUUAGCCGUUCAUUUUGAGGGUACUCGUUUACUAGACAAACGAAAUCAAAAAAUUAUGAAAUUUGGUUUCUAGGUAGUUCCAACAGCGUAGAUCAUGUCUAACAGAACCGAUCGCCAAAUCGGAUGUCCCAUUAUUGAAAACAACUUACAAGUACGGAGGCUCCCGUACUUUCGAAAGCAUAGGAGCCUAGCUCUAUAUAUAUAUAUAUAUAUAUAUAGUGCAACUACUAUACUUUUAUGAGUAUAGUAGCUGUUGUACUCAUAAAUUUUUAGUCAUCAGAUCUACUUCAAGAUCUGUGCAGAUUUGAUGGCUUAAUUCAUUCCAAUUAAUCUUUAUAAUUAACUCUUUUAAUUAAUUUCUAACCCCUUAAUUAAUCCUUGUAAGACAUUCCAUUCUCGUCCUCUUCCUCUAGCACCGCCGACGCCCACCCCUACCUCCGCUGCCACUCCAAACCCCCCACCUCAACUUAUCCUCUGACAGCCCCCUUCCCUCCUACCACGAUUCCCGGUGGCAGCAGAGACGAAGACGCCUUUCUUGGAAACGAAGAAGGCGCCCACGGGAUGGCGUCGACCACGCCGGCCACGACGGCGUCAAAUGUGGCGAGGAUGUCAGAGUCGAAGCCCCCUUGCCCAGCAGACCUUGUAGAUGGCGAGAGGCCCCUUGGGUGCCAUCCUGGCAGAACGGAAGGUGGUGGGGGGCGACGAUAGUUCUAGGGAAAGAUUGGGAAGAAGAGGAAGAGGUUAAUUGAGGGGUUAGAAAUUAAUUUGAAGAGUUAAUUAGAAUGGAGGAGUUAAUUAGGAUAGGUUAGUUCGGAUGAGUUAGCCAUCAGAUCUACACAGAUCUUGAAGCAUACCUGAUGGCUAAAAAUCUAGAAGUACAACAGCUACUAUACUCAUAAGAGUACAGUAGCUGCACACACACACACUCUCUCUCUCUCUCUCUCUCUAUAUAUAUAUAUAUAUAUAUAUAUAGUUGAGCUGGAAUGCUAUUUGUAGCAAACGGGCUCUGUUGUCACCCAUUUGUUUUCAAUGAUAGAGCCUCCAAAUCGACGAUCGGUACCGUUGAACAUGAUCUAUACCACCUGAAGCAUCUAAAAAUCAAAAUUUAUGUUUUUUCGAUAUUGUUCUCUUGUCCAUCAAGUGGACACAGAAAUGAACGGUUGAAAAUGAAUAUCCUUAAAAAGUGAUGAUAGUAGUCUUGUAAUCAAGAUCAAGAGUGUUAUGCCCCGAGCCAGUCUAUUUGGUCGGUUCGGGCACGUCAUCAGACGCCGAACGGACAACACCUCCCCUGUCCGCCCAAGGCUCAACAAGACGUCAACAUGUAUAUAGUUAUUACACAGCGGAAACAUAAGCAUAUACAUAGUUUGCACGAGGGCAAGCAAUAGCCAAAAGUGAAAGUCUAUACUAUUACAUCCAUACAAGUACUAUAAUUAUCUUUUAACACAUACAUGCACAGUACAUUACAUUCUUUCAUUCUUUUUCUUAUACAUCACAUACAUCUCCAAAACAUAGCAUUUCUUUCAUCCAAACAUAAGCUUUUACAUUUACAUCAUUUAUACAGUUUGCAUCAUCAAGUACAAAAGAUGAUAAAACUGGUAUGAAGCUAUACUCGGGUGGUUACUGUCUAAGGUGCGAUACCUUUACCGCGAUCGUCGACCGGCUCGCUCGGCCCCGGCUCUGUAGAUGAUAGUGGGGUGAGAACUACAACGAAGUUCCCAGUAGGUUCGGCCUCCGACCUCGCCGACUUUUCCACUAGGUUUAAAUCAGGCAUAAGUAGAAGAAUAAAGCAGAUAGAUAGGUAAUCAUGCUAUACAAAUGCAACUAAUAUGUCUGAACAAAUACAAUCAAUGUAAGGAUGCUCAUGAUGCAUGCAAGGUCCAUAUCCAAUACCCAAUCCUCUUGGCUAACCCGUAGGUUUCGCCCACGACUCAACAACUCAAAUCCCUACUAUCGGGGAGAUACUCACUACAACCCGACGGGACCGUCCUCUUGCGAGAUACUCGCUACGAUCCAGUGAUGACUACUUCGGAGCUCAUCGCUUGAUGGGGUGCGACCGCCCUCAAGCCAAGACUUAUAGGUGAGUAUGAUCCAAUCCUUAGCUAUAAGGAUGUCAAGUUCAAUCCGAUCCUUAACUAUAAGGAUAUUAUGCUCACUCAAAUCUUUAACUAUAAGGAUGCCACAACUAUGAGGUUGUCAUGUUCACACAUGCCACAAUGCCAAAUAUCUCAUUCUUUAUACUCAUUAAUGCCACACACACUAAGUGUUUCAUGCUCUAGCAUUUACUAUACUCAUUAAUGCCACACACUAAGUGUUCCACUCUCUAGCAUUUAUUAUGCUCUUUAAUGCCCCAAGGUGCUACUCUACUCAUGUCAUAAUGUCACUAUGUUCUUUACCUCACUAGGUUCUUGUCACAAUUCACACAUUCAUAGGGUUUACAACUUGUUCAUUAGCUCACUAACAUCUCAUAUGCAUCUUGUACUCAAAGCAUGCAAGCAAUAUAUUCUCAAUUCAACCCUGUAAUGCAUGAAAUUCAUAUACACAUAUAUGCUCAAGAAGUGACAUUUAGACAUACACGGAAAUUCAAUGAUUUCGGAUAGCACCACCCACCUCGUAGGGUUGCUAGGGUGCUAGGAUUCAAGUCUCGGAAUUUUUAGCCGCCAAUUUUCCUUGACUGCGGCAAAACAAAGGCAAAAUAGGCUUUUUCCUUGAUUUCUUCGCGUAGACUCGUCGGAUCUUCAAACCGAGUCCACCAACGCGUCGGUUUACACGUCAAUUAGGGCUAUAAGAGAUCAAACCCUAGUUAGAUCUCAUAUUUACCAAAACCCCAUUUGUCACGCCUCGAGCUCCGCCAAUUUGGUCAGAUUCGGGCACGCCGACAGACCGCCGAACGGACAGAGCUUUCCCUGUACGUCCUAGGCGUCACAAUCCAUUUGAUGCAACAGAAGAGGUCCCAACCAGGAACAACAUUCAAACAUAGAUUGUAUAAGUAUCAAAAACAUAAAAGGCUAACUAUGCUAUUACAAGCAUAGUCUCAAGAUUUUACAUUUAGAAAAUUACAUAAGCCUUUAUACAAUUUACAACUUAUACAAUUUACUACAAAUUUGUUUCUUUCAAUUUACACUCUAAACUCUGAUGCUAGACCACUUCAAGGUACUGCUAUCUCUGGUCUCAGUGGUAGGGCGCUCUGUCUACGGAGCUACGCCCUGUCCUCGCGCCGCCGUGCCGCUCACGUGCUAACCUGUACCCCCAAAACAACACGGGAGUGAGAACUAUAAAUAUAGUUUCCAGUGGGUACGGCCACCCAAGGGAAGAGCUCGACCCACCAGGUCCAAAGGAGGCAUUGUAACAUGUUAGUCCAAUAGAUAAUAAUCACAGAUAAUUUAUGCAAAUAUUAAAACAUGUAUGCCUCGCGAUAUGCAAUAUGUAAAUCAUGCAAGAAUGUACUAUCAUAAUUGUAUCUCUUGAUUCUACUUUAUUUCAUUAACCACUCUUUACUUGUAGCCGUUCUUUUCUUUAUUAGCUAUUCACGUUCAUUAGCUAUUUUCUUUAUUCUUUACUCUUUGUCAUAUUGUGCUCAUUGGCGAUUCUUUCAUAAGGUUAUUUUACCUUAGCCAUCUAUGCCACUCGACUCGGUCUUGAGUCAAUCAUCCGCGGAGUACCGCGUCAAGUCAGGCUCGAGGUGGAGGACGUCUCACAAGCACCUCAGCCUUAAGUCCAUGCGACACUAGGUCAAUCACAGGGAGAGGAGAACCGUCGAUCCCCGUGACCCUAAGUCGCUCAAGCUUAACGGGCGAGGAGAACCGUCAAACCCGUUGAGCUCACACCGGGAGAGGAGAACCGUCGAUCCCGUUGAAUCACUACAGGGAGAGGAGAACCGUCGAUCCCGUAGUUCUGAUUCACUUGUUUCCUGGCAUACCGGGAGAGGAGAACUGUCGAUCCCGUUGAAUCACUACCGGGAGAGGAGAACCGUCGAUCCCGUAGUUCUGAUUCUAUUUUGCCAACAGCACCACUUCUAUGGAUUUCGGAACCCACUUUCACAACUUAAGGGUUUACUCUUUUACCCUAUGUCGACGACCUUUCUAGGUCUAUACCAUUCACUUUCUAGUGGUCCUAUUACCACUAUAAUUCAUAACUUAGUUUAAUUUUACUAAGUGUCUCUAUACAUCAUAACCUAGGUUCAUUUACGCUAGGUUUCAUGUUCUUUCACCUAGAUCUCGAUUCUAGGUUUACUAAUUCAACCUAUGUUCAAUGACACUAGGUUCAUUUCAUGUCCAACCUAUGUUCAAUAACACUAGGUUUAUUUCAUGUCCAAUCUAUGUUCAAUAACACUAGGUUCAUGCCACUCGAUCUAUUCAUUAUCCUAGUUAUCCACGCGUAGAAUUAUAAUUUGUACAUUUUCAUUUAUUUUGUUACCGUCAAGAUUUCUAAUCAACUAGAAUUAUCGACAUUCAUAUAGCUUGAACUAUAGUACAUUCACUUUCAUAUAUGUUUAGACAUAGGCAUCAAACUUUCACUUUUAUGUGGCAACAAUUAUGUAUGCUUUAGUAUUUAUGUUCACAUUUCAUAUUCAACUUACAUGCCCUUGGCAUUUAUAGGUUCAACAUUCAUAUACCAUAUGUUUGCUCAUAUGAAUUUAGCAUAACUAUGCAUUUAGCUUUCACGUUCAUAUAUCGACAAUUAUAUGUAUCUAGCACAAUCUACAAUAUAUUCUUAUGCCUCUAGCAUGUUCAUUAUCUGUUUACCAUUAUACAUCAUCUAGCAUUAACCAUAAUGCAUUCAUAUAUGCAUCAAAUGAAACCACGAUUUACUUUGGCAUGGAAGUGACCUAAUCACUUCGGUAAAGCACAACCCACCUUUAUUUGAUACCUGAACGCGAGAAAUCCACUUCCCGCACUUCCCGAGAACCGCGACCCGCGCUCGCGACAAUUGAUGCCGAAAACGUCCUUUUGGUGAUAUUUUUGCGUAGGCUCGAUGGAUUGCCGAGCCGACUUCGCCAACGCGUUUGUUUUACCUUCAAUUAGGUUUACACGCGACCAAUUUCACGUUAGGGUCUCAAUCCUACAAAAGUGCAUUAUUGAGUUUAGAGCUCUACAUAAACUGCCAUUACAUAACUUAAUACAAGAACAUAAGCAAUUUAAGCCUCAACCAAUUAAAAGCCUUGAACUAAGUAAUUUAUGAAUACAGGAGAUCCAUUCAUGCUAUAACCAUAAAUUUACAACCCUCAGAUUCGACCCAAGAGCUUACAUAUGCUAUUUAAUAUAGUUUCUCUAUAAGUUUACAUGUAACCAGAAGUAAGCUCUAGUAUCGACGAACAUUAGAAUCCAAGAAUUCUACUACCCAAAACCAAUUCCUUUAAGGUACAUACAUCUACUCUUAAUCAGGAAUUAUAAUUUACUCAUAGUUUUUCUCACUGUCAUAUUCUUCUAUGUAUACAUGUAGGCCUAUUCUAGGCUUUUCUUAGAUUUCCCAUGGCAAGAGCAGGUUCUAGAAUCCAAGAACCCCAACGUUCAACCUCUUCGUAGGGUAAAUAUUUCAACUUUAAUGAGGUAAUAACUAUAUCUCAGAUUUGGAAGCUUCAACAAUUUGCUUCCCAGUGCCAAGAACCACACAUAACCCAAGAACCUCAAUCAAUUAAUCUAAAGUAUUACAAGAGAUUAACUUUUAUUAUAUACAUAUUUCUACAGGUUUCAUAUAAGCCUUUGCUUGGUUUACUAGGAUAAAACCUUUACUAAUAACCAAGGAUCUACUACUCGAGCCCACAUCCAUUAACUUAGAGAUUUAUAUCGAUCUCUAAACCAAAUUUGUAAAAUAGCUCUCUUUAAUUUCCAACUGCCAAAGCUCAUGCAUGAUAGUAACCUGUACAGCUUGCUCCCAAUUCUAUAGUAAUAUGGUUCUUAGUAAUCUAAUAACCCAAGCUAAAUCCUAUUUACAACUUUAUCAAAUAGAGAGCAAUUAACUCACCUCAGGUUGAUAUAUCUUGCAGAUUACCACUACUCGGAAGCCACCUCACAGCCCAAAUCCAAUCCGCAUGGCAGCCACAACAACCUGAAAGUCACGAAAAAAUCGGUCGACGAAACGGUCUCAAAAUCGGCUCCUAAAUCACAUUAAAAUCGAUUUCUAAACUUCAAUUUUUGCAUAGAUUCAACAUAGAUCCAUCAAAACGACCUCUCCUAACAUCCACCAUCAAAAAUCCAUCAAAAAAUCAGAUUUGAAAUUAUAACAAUAAAAUACUAACUUCGCAGUCGAAGCGCCGGAAAAAUCCAACACGCGCGGGGGAUCAAUCGGCUCGUCAAACGACACCAAUUUCAUUACUUCUUCUUCUUCUCUUUUUCCCUUUUCUCCCUUUCCCUCUCUCUCUCAUGCGUACAGGGAGAGGAUAAGAAUGGAGGUUCCCCCUGGCAGCUUAGUGGAAAUCCACUAAGCAAUGUAACAAUUGCCUUUAGGUCCAUAGGUCAUUAAUAUUAUCACUUCAGUCCAGUUCUAGUCUGAUACAUUUAAUUGGAGCCCUUCUGAAUGUCCGUUUUCGCUCAAAUUUGACAGGCAUGUUCGGUAUUACAUAACAAGUCCAAAGAAAUUUUAACAUUUCAGUUUCGACCCCAUUUGGUCACCGCAAACUGUACCGAACUGUAAUCUUUAUCAGAUAGCUUUCGGAUUCUAUUUCUCUCUCUACGGGUGUCAGAAUAAUAUGAAACUUUAAAUCUAGCCUCAUAAAAAUAUUUCUGACAUCUCCUCCAGUUUUCAUAAUUUUCUGACACUGCAUUUUCUGCUAAUUUAUCAGUCCCGUUCUUUACAGAAAAUUCUAAAUCUUCUAUUUUCGCUCCGAUUCCAACACGAGUAAUUCCAGACUUAUAUUUUACACCCUUAAGUCCAAUAAAAUAUUAUCUCACACCAUUUUUAUAUUAUUUUGCUCACUUUAAUUCUUUUAAUCAAAGUUAGCAUCGGAAAUCCGAAAAUUCUUUUUACAUUUCGUUUCGCGCCCAAUUUGCGCCGAAACACUUAUUUAUCUCCAGAAUUCAUUCACACGCAUCACAAAUCACUCGGGGAUGAUGUCCAACUAGCUCAAUUCUCACUUUGAUCCCCCAGAUCAAAGUUGACAUCGCAACUCAAGAUUUCCAUAUAUUACACCAUUUCAACCCUAGGGUUUCCACUUUUGCCAAAUACUCACAUAACACAUGUAGAUUCACACAUAAAUCUGCCAUAUAUGCUUCUAGAUACAACUACUAGAAGUAAUUAACUCAAAACCCUAGCUUAGAGUCAUGUAAACCCACCUUUGGUUCCAAGCUUUCCUCUAAGCCCUUGUACAAUAGCAAUCUCCACCCUCAACUUGGUCUUCUUCUCCACCAAGACCGCUCCAAACCUCUCUUGGACAAACCCUAGUGAGAGAGAGAGAAGGAGAGAGUUUUAGAGAGAGAGAGGGAAUCCUCUUGGGUUGCAAGUGUGAGGGGAUGAGAGGAAAUGAGCCAAAACCCACUUAUAUACACUCCACUCUAACACAAUUGCAUAAAACCCCUCCAACAAGUCCCUUUUCAUACUGCCCCGAACUGGGCAGUUUCGGCUACGGGGUUCGGACCUUGCACAGAGGGUCCGGACCCCGAGAGCAUAUUUUCUGCGAAAUUUGCAGAAUUCACUCAUAAUGCUCUCCAAGGUCCUCUACACCCUUAAGUGCCAUUCCAACGCAUAUCGGACUUUCCGAAGCGCACUUUAGUCAAUUUGGCUAAAGUUCGGUAUAACCUACCGAAGUUUCGGUAUAUUACAAAGAGUAUAGAUCUUGUUCUAAAUAAUUUAAAGAAUUUUCUAACCAAAAUUCAAUUGAUUUGGAUAUCUUUACGCCUUUAAACGAGAAAACGUUUUAUAUCGACCAUUAAAAUUACAAAUUUUGAAAUCCUUUGAUCAUUAGGCCAAUGAUGUCGAAAAUAUUUAAAAUUUAGUUUCUAGAUACUUCAAGUGGUAUAGAUCAUAUUCAACGGUGCCGAUCGUCGAUUUGGAGAUUCUAUCAUUGAAAAUAAAUGGGUGGCAGUGGAGCUAAUAGUAUUUGGACUCUUUUACUAUCGAGUUUUAAACCCUUGGAUGAAAACUUAUAGGAUUAGGACGGUAGUGGUCCCCCAGGGUUUAGUUUUGGUCUUCUUAGGGUUGAGUGGGUAGUUGGGUGAAUUGUAUGAUCUAAAAGGUGGCAUUGAUUAAAGUGUAGAUCUAACGGCUAAAUAAUCGAUAGCAACAUGGCCCAAAUACUAUUAAUAGUAUUCCGGCUCAACUUUAUAUAUAUAUAUAUAUAUAUAUAUAUAUAUAUAUAUAGUUGAGUUGGAAUACUAUUAGUAGCAAACGGGCUCAAUUGCGACCCAUUUGUUUUCGAUGAUGGAGCCUCCAAAUCGACGAUUGGCACCGUUGAACAUAAUCUAUACCACUUGAAAUAUCUAGAACCAAAUUUUAAAUCUUUUCGACAUCAUUGACCUAAUGAUCAAAGAGUUCCAAAAUUUGUAAUGUUAAUGGUCGAUAUGAGGCGUUUUCUCGUUUAACAGUGUAACGAUAUCCAAAUCGAUUGAAUUUUGUUAGAAAAUUCUUUAAACUAUUUAGAACAAGAUUUAUACUCUCGAUCUUGAUUACAAGAUUUCUAUCAUCACUUUUUAAAGAAUAAUCAUUUUUAGCCGUUCAUUUUGUGUCCACUUGAUGGACAAGAAAACAAUAUCGAAAAAGCAUAAAAUUUGGUUUCUAGAUGCUUCAAGUGGUAUAGAUCAUGUUCAACAGCGCCGAUCGUCGAUUUGGAGGCUCCAUCAUCGAAAACAAAUGGGUGACAACGGAGCCUGUUUGCACCAGGAUAGAGAUUCCGCUCAACUCUCCAUCUCUUCGUCUCUCUCUCUUUCUCAUAAUAUAUAAUAUAUAUAUUAUAUAUAUAUAUAUAUAUAUUAUAAUAUAGAGUAGGGCUACUAUACUCUUAUGAGUAUAGAGCCCUUCAUACUCAUAAGUUGUUUUCGAUAUUGGACUUUUCAAAUCGACGAUCCACACCGUUAAACAUGAUCUAGAGUAUUUGAAACUUCUAGAAAAUAAAUUUCAUAAUUUUUCGAAAUCAUUAUAAAGUCUAUCAAGCGGGUAUAAAAUGAACGGUUAAAAUCAAACGACAUCCUAAAAAUGGAUGAUCGGAUCCUUCAAUUUAAGAUCGGAGUUAUUGAUCUUUAUUUAGGUAGUGAAUAGAAUUUUCUAUAAAAAAUUCAAACUAUUCCGAUUCUUUUUCACCGUUAAACUAGCAAAUAUCUCAUACCGGUUGUUAAAAAUUGUCAAUUUUGUGAACUUUUGAUCGUAAGGUAAAUGAUAUUGAAAAAUUAUAAAAUUUGAUUUCUAGAAGUUUUAAAUGCUCUAGAUAAUGUUUAACGGUAUGGAUCGUCGAUUCGGAAGCUCUAUCAUCGAAAACAACUUACGAGUACGAAGGCAAUCGUACUCGUAAGAGUAUAGUAGCCGGACUCUAUAUAUAUAUAUAUAUAUAUAUAUAUAUAACUGAGCUCCUAUGCUUUUAAAAGUACCAAGUUAUUAGUGCUUGUAGGUUUUCGGCCCUUGGAUUAAGGAAUGUGUGGUUAGGAUAAUAGUGGUCCCCUUGGGUUGAGUGAGUGGUUGGUUGCAUAGUAUAAUCUAGCGGAUGGAAAUGAUCAAAUGAAUAGAUCUAAUGGUGGAAAACUUGCAAGCACCAAGUGCUUGGUACUUUUAAAAGUACUAUAGCCGGACUCUCUCUCUCUCUCUCUCUCUCUAUAUAUAUAUAGAGAGAGAGAGAGAGUUGAGCUGGAAUGCUAUCGGUAGCAAACGGGCUCCGUUGCCACCCAUUUGUUUUCGAUGAUGGAGCCUUCAAAUCGAUGAUCGAUACGUUGACAUGAUCUAUACCACUUGAAGUAUCUAGAAAUCAAAUAUCAAAUUUUUUCGACUUCACUGGCCUAAUGAUCAAAGGGUUUCAAAAUUUGUUAUUUUAAUGGUUGAUAUAAGGCGUUUUUUUGUUUAACGGCAUAAAGAUAUCUAAAUCAAUUGAAUUUUGAUUAGUAAACUAUUUAGAGCAAGAUCUAUACUCUUGAUCUUGAUUACAAGACUCCUAUCAUCAUUUUUAAAGGAUAUUUUCAGCCGUUCAUUUUUGUGUCCACUUGAUGGAUAAGGGAACAAUAACGA
This 13114-nucleotide long non-coding RNA is filed under the name Ananas comosus (pineapple). RNAcentral's name for it is "long non-coding RNA (ACOM_LNC012015)". Lineage: Eukaryota; Viridiplantae; Streptophyta; Magnoliopsida; Poales; Bromeliaceae. The record is from RNAcentral.